UGGUCCUACGGGGCGCAGCAGUGGGGAAUAUUGCACAAUGGGGGAAACCCUGAUGCAGCGACGCCGCGUGAAGGAAGAAGGCUUUCGGGUUGUAAACUUCUUUUAAGGGGGAAGAGGAGAAGACGGUACCCCUUGAAUAAGCCACGGCUAACUACGUGCCAGCAGCCGCGGUAAUACGUAGGUGGCAAGCGUUGUCCGGAUUUACUGGGUGUAAAGGGCGUGCAGCCGGGCCGACAAGUCAGAUGUGAAAUCCGCUGGCUUAACCCGCGAACUGCAUUUGAAACUAUAGGUCUU
Molecule: ribosomal RNA, 294 nt
Filed under: uncultured bacterium
Lineage: Bacteria
Description: partial 16S ribosomal RNA
Rfam family: Bacterial small subunit ribosomal RNA
Source: RNAcentral